RNAcentral lists this long non-coding RNA (1275 nucleotides) under Strigops habroptila (Kakapo). Its description in RNAcentral is "lncRNA (ENSSHBG00005006775.1)". The record is from RNAcentral. Lineage: Eukaryota; Metazoa; Chordata; Aves; Psittaciformes; Psittacidae.
CUUAAUGGCAAAAAUUGAGUUUAUUUUACGAGUAAAAAUAGCAUUAUAGUUACUAAGAAAAUUAGAAGGCUACAAACAACACACAUUUUUCUAGUUAGCAUUUUAUUUUUAUAUAAAAAUAUUUCUAAAAGCCUUUAUUAUAAAGAAUCUCUGAUCCUUAAUCACACUAUACAUAUUUAGCAUUUCACUGAUUAAUAAUUUGAAAGUACAGCCAAGGGUCCAGAGCAAACCAUCUCAAGGUGUCCAUGGUGUAGCUGGGAGUCGAGCUGGAGGAUGUCUAGCUCUAGCCCGUGAGGUCAGCUUUUGUCUGAGCCGUCGGACUUCUGCCAUCAGCUCCCACUCUUGACAUGCCAGGUCUUCUUGUCUCCUGUCUAAACCAUAGAAUCAUAGAAUGGUUUGGGUUGGAAAGGACCUUAAAGCUCAUCCAGUUCCAACCGCCUGCCACGGGCGGGACUCCGCUAGACCAGGUUGCUCCAAGCCCCAUCCAACCUGGUCUCGAGCAUUUUCAGGGAUGGGACAGCCACAGCUUCUCUGGGCAACCUGUUCCUGUGUCUCACCACUCUCACAAUGAAAAAUUUCUUCCUCAUAUCUAACCUAAAUCUAUCCUCUUUCAGCUUAAAGCCAUUCCCCCUUGUCCUCACUACUUGGGACAAUGUAAAAAGUUCCUCUACAGUUUUUUUGUCAGCCGCUUUAGGAAUUGCAAGGCUGCUCUAAGGUACUUCAGCCUGGAGAAUCGAAUACUCCAGGGAAACAAGAAACUCAGACUAAACAUUGCAACUAAUGAUUUUCACAAGUACUGUGAAUGCUUAUUGGAAAACAUGUAUCUCUGGCAUAGCAAUGCUGUGUUUUAUUACUACCACUGAGGUGAGACAGCCCUAAGACCUGUAAAUCAAGUUCUUUGAAAGCAGUGCCUCUCUUCUGUUACAAAAAGGUCAGGUGCUCUGCACUCUGCACACUGGCCAGCCACAGACAACAUGUUCCCUGUUGUAUGCAGAGUUUUGUACCUAAGACACAUUGUGCUUUCACUUGCCCUAGCAGCUAGGACAGCCCAGAGGUAAAGACUGCAGACUGUAACUCAUAGUAAGGCUUCGAUGAAAGACAUCUUCUCAACAUCCCCAAAUCACACGUAACUAUGAAGACAGAAAAAGCAUAGAUAAAACAAUCAGGUCAGAAUAGGAUUAAGCUGGGCUGGGGUUUAAUAGGACUGCUCUCAUGACAUGACACCCUCCAGGCCCUUCCUACCUGUGCUGCCCCUGGUAGUAAAGACAGUUUUUU